Molecule: ribosomal RNA, 509 nt
Filed under: uncultured bacterium
Lineage: Bacteria
Description: partial 16S ribosomal RNA
Rfam family: Bacterial small subunit ribosomal RNA
Source: RNAcentral
GACGAACGCUGGCGGCGUGCUUAACACAUGCAAGUCGGACGAAGAGCGAUGGAAGCUUGCUUCUAUCAAUCUUAGUGGCGAACGGGUGAGUAACGCGUAAUCAACCUGCCCUUCAGAGGGGGACAACAGUUGGAAACGACUGCUAAUACCGCAUACGAUCUAAUCUCGGCAUCGAGGAAAGAUGAAAGGUGGCCUCUAUUUAUAAGCUAUCACUGAAGGAGGGGAUUGCGUCUGAUUAGCUAGUUGGAGGGGUAACGGCCCACCAAGGCGAUGAUCAGUAGCCGGUCUGAGAGGAUGAACGGCCACAUUGGGACUGAGACACGGCCCAGACUCCUACGGGAGGCAGCAGUGGGGAAUCUUCCGCAAUGGACGAAAGUCUGACGGAGCAACGCCGCGUGAGUGAUGACGGCCUUCGGGUUGUAAAGCUCUGUUAAUCGGGACGAAAGGCCUUCUUGCGAACAGUUAGAAGGAUUGACGGUACCGGAAUAGAAAGCCACGGCUAACUACGU